This 253-nucleotide ribosomal RNA is filed under the name uncultured bacterium. RNAcentral describes it as "partial 16S ribosomal RNA". It matches the Rfam family "Bacterial small subunit ribosomal RNA", at positions 524 to 776 of the family's 1533-position model. The record is from RNAcentral.
UACGGAGGGUGCAAGCGUUAUCCGGAUUCACUGGGGUUAAAGGGUGCGUAGGUGGGCAGGUAAGUCAGUGGUGAAAUCUCCGGGCUUAACCCGGAAACUGCCAUUGAUACUAUCAGUCUUGAAUACCGUGGAGGUAAGCGGAAUAUGUCAUGUAGCGGUGAAAUGCUUAGAUAUGACAUAGAACACCAAUUGCGAAGGCAGCUUACUACCCGAAUAUUGACACUGAGGCACGAAAGCGUGGGGAUCAAACAGG